RNAcentral lists this ribosomal RNA (497 nucleotides) under uncultured bacterium. RNAcentral describes it as "partial 16S ribosomal RNA". It matches the Rfam family "Bacterial small subunit ribosomal RNA", at positions 28 to 507 of the family's 1533-position model. The record is from RNAcentral.
GAUGAACGCUGGCGGCGUGCCUAAUACAUGCAAGUCGAGCGAACAGACGAGGAGCUUGCUCCUCUGACGUUAGCGGCGGACGGGUGAGUAACACGUGGAUAACCUACCUAUAAGACUGGGAUAACUUCGGGAAACCGGAGCUAAUACCGGAUAAUAUAUUGAACCGCAUGGUUCAAUAGUGAAAGACGGUUUUGCUGUCACUUAUAGAUGGAUCCGCGCCGCAUUAGCUAGUUGGUAAGGUAACGGCUUACCAAGGCGACGAUGCGUAGCCGACCUGAGAGGGUCGAUGGGCAGCCGGGAAGUGAGGCACGGUCCAGACUCCUACGGUAGGCAGCAGUAGGGAAUCUUACGCGAUGGGGGAGAGCCGGACGGAGCGACGCCGCGUGAGGGAUGAAGGUCUUCGGAUGGGAAAACUCUGUUGUUAGGGAAGAAGAAAUGUGUUUGUAACUAUGCACGUCUUGACGGUACCUGAUCAGAAAGCCACGGCUAACUACGUG